GAUGAACGCUAGCGGCAGGCCUAAUACAUGCAAGUCGAACGGUGUCUUCGGACAUAGUGGCGCACGGGUGCGUAACACGUAUGCAACCUACCUUACAUCGGGGGAUAGCCUUUCGAAAGGGAGAUUAAUACCGCAUAAGACAGUAGCUGGGCAUCCAGCAGCUGUUAAAGAUUUAUCGAUGUAAGAUGGGCAUGCGUCCAAUUAGUUAGUUGGCGAGGUAAUGGCUCACCAAGACUUUGAUUGGUAGGGGAACUGAGAGGUCAAUCCCCCACACUGGCACUGAGAUACGGGCCAGACUCCUACGGGAGGCAGCAGUAGGGAAUAUUGGGCAAUGGACGCAAGUCUGACCCAGCCAUGCCGCGUGCAGGAUGAAGGCGUUAUGCGUUGUAAACUGCUUUUAUACAGGAAGAAACGACUCUUGCGAGAGGCAUUGACGGUACUGUAUGAAUAAGCACCGGCUAACUCCGUGCCAGCAGCCGCAGUAA
Molecule: ribosomal RNA, 485 nt
Filed under: uncultured bacterium
Lineage: Bacteria
Description: partial 16S ribosomal RNA
Rfam family: Bacterial small subunit ribosomal RNA
Source: RNAcentral